UCUGAAAAUUUUUUGUGGAAAAAGAAAGAACAAAACCUUUGCAACAAUGGUUCAAUCUUUCCUGGCUUGCUUGCAUCAUUGACUUUUUUUCUUGCUCGGCUUUGGCUUUAAAGAAUUUGCAUUUUUCAUAAUCCCUACAUAUGUUGAUUCAAUCUUAGGCAUAGACAGGAUCAUGGACUCUUGAAGAGAACGCUUGAAUUCCAGCAGUGGACAUGAUAUAUUGUGAGCAAUUACCAUGAACUGGAUCAGUCAUUCAGGCCCCAAGCAUAUUAGCAUGACUAUAAGAACAAGAACUAGUCCAUGGUAGAGGUGUGAAGUAAAAGUGCAACUCAUAGUGUGACAGAAACCAUUUAUGAGAAUAUCCAAGUCGCUUAAGUACCAACUGCAUCUAGUACAUAUUCUCAUUAGCAAAAGCAUGAAUAAUUUGAAGCGAGCAUGGGCAAUUUUUUGAAGCAAAGAAUGCUAUAGUUGAGAAAGCUGAGGUGGUGGAAUCACAGCCUAGUCCCCAGUGAAGUCACCAAAAAUGUAGGGGCACUUUUGAUCGGAGUUGUACGCCAAUGGAAUCACGCCUAAAAUCUCGUCUCCUUUGUCUGAGUUAGCGAAGAUUAGGCCCAGCAAACUUCGAAGGACUGAAAUCCUAGGAAGUAUGCUGUUGUGUCCCUCCAAGCAGCUCUUCUCUAUGUUCACAGCAGUGAAUUAGUGUGCAAUUUUAGUAAAGGUUUGGCAAGAUGUGCGUGGCGUGGGAGCUAGAAAAGCAUGAGUUUCGGAAGAAG
Long non-coding RNA from Rosa chinensis, 773 nucleotides. RefSeq lists it as uncharacterized. Lineage: Eukaryota; Viridiplantae; Streptophyta; Magnoliopsida; Rosales; Rosaceae. The record is from RefSeq and is a predicted model, not a curated record. The transcript is spliced from 3 exons.